UUCAAUUUCAGUAGCCUAUUGUUGCUAGCUCGUCAUACAUAGGAGGUGAUGCAGCAUUCUUAUCAUAAGCAGUCCUUCUCUCGAAUUCUUGUAUUGCCAUGCCUUUGAUGCUAACAGAAUCUUCAAAGUUUCCUGAUGUAUUUCUGUCAGAAAAAUAGGGUAAACAUUCUUCAGACUUCGCAUCUGCAACAAGAUAAGAGAUGUACAGUUUUCUCCUAAAACCUUUCAUCCUCUUCGUUCUCCUUGGUCCAUCCUCUUCGAUUUUUCAAGCAUCCGAAUUGGGGAUUAGGUAUUUACACAAGUGAUUUGAUCUUUACACUGGCGAUUGGUAUCUAAAUUUGAGUUUAGAAAAAUGAGCAAUUGGCGUUCUGAAUUGUGAGAAGAACAAGGAGCCACAAAGGAAACUUUCCUUGGACACUGAGGUUGCAGCAACGUUACAGGUUUAUAUAUAGUCACAUCUUAUGGACAUGAACCGAUGUUCAUGUUAGCCAACCCCAAUUAUUUUGAGACUAAGGCUUAGAAGAGGAAAAAGGAGCUUUGCCUUGGCUACAUAGUUAAGCUAUCUCCAUUAUGUAUCCUCCUGUUGGUGUUUUUAGGUACUCUCUAUCUGACUUCCUUUGCGUUUCCCCCUUUGAUGCCCAUAUUUUCAUUCUACCCUUCCCCUUUCUUCUUACAUACAUGUAAUGACCUGAGUUGUUGAAUGGGCAGCCUGAUUUCACCCGAUUCCACCCCUAUCUUUUUCCAUUUUUAAACCCAUUCUCAUAGAAAGAGUUUCAGCCACGACAUUUUCUUCUAUUCUUUCCUCAAACCUUGAAAUUUUGUACCUUUGGCAGAUUUUUGAACUUAAUGAUGACGAGGACCUUCCGCUGGUGCUUGAUAAUGAAGUGCUAUGAAAAAUGAUUACUGACUAGGCACAACUUUAGCCCUUAUCUUGAUUUUAAAAUUCUCCAUCGUACUUAUUAAUGUAAAAUAAUUGAUCCAAGCACAAAAUACAUUACUACUGUCAUUUCUUGUCUUAGCAGUCCUGCAAAACCUUUGAGUAAGCAUUUGUUGGGUAUAAUACACUACAAUAUUAAAUAAACUAAACAAUCUUUUUGAUUGUCUUAACCUGUAGGUUUAUAGCAGGGUAAACCAAAUAUGUAAAGAAUUUGAUUGACAUUAAAAUAAAGUAGAGGACAUGAUUUUUUCUAUGUUCCAAACAAAAAUUAACAAGAAUCUUUAGGAAAGAGGAUUACUUAAACAGAGCUCUUAACUGAGUUAACUAUGCGGCACUCAAGUUAAAAAAUGUAAACGCCAGGGCACCAAAUGAAAAAUAGUGAAAAUACAGGCAGUCGGGCACCAAAGUGAAAGAUUGCAAAACCUCGGGGUAUCAAAGUGGAAAGUUUAAGAUUCUCCCCUAAGGCUCUAGUUUCUAGGAAACCAAUAGGCCUUGAUCAACCAAAGAGUUUUCACCUUGCAUGAACCCCUUCAACUCCCUGCAACUCAUUUACAUUUAUAUGCCCUGUAAUAAUACCUUUUAAUCAUCUCCUAAAAAUCACUUCCUGGAAACAGAAGGCCUGCAACAUUUUCUCUAAAAAAUGGUACAAUAAAAUUGCUAAAUCAGCUAGAAAUCCCACCAAAAUAAACAACAACGAUCAAAUCCUUUGUAUCUACUGAUAAUGCAUAGGCUGAACAAAUCCCGUUCAUCCACUGAUAAUGCAUGAUAGUUUUAAAUUUCCAGUUUACAUUACACAUUAAUAGAAGGUUUGUUGUUGGUUAAUCCAGGCAGGUAGUGAUUUUCAACACCUCAUGAGUUUAGGAAAAUUCACUAUGUCUUGUAGUAUGCUAAU
This is a long non-coding RNA of Spinacia oleracea (spinach), 1829 nucleotides long. RefSeq lists it as uncharacterized. NCBI's taxonomy places the organism in Eukaryota, Viridiplantae, Streptophyta, Magnoliopsida, Caryophyllales, Amaranthaceae. The transcript has 5 exons. The record is from RefSeq and is a predicted model, not a curated record.